CCGCCAUGAUUGUGAGGCUUCCCCAGCCAUGUGGAAACAUAUUCGCAGAGCACCCACUAGGUGCCAGUAAAUGUAUGAGAAGUCCUGUGGAAUAAGACUGAAGUUGUCCUUGCCUUCAAGCAACUUGCAAUUGCCUAAGAACACAGUUUAAAACCACAAAACUAAGCCUUGGAAAUCACAUGCUGUCAUUUCUGCGAUCGGUCAUAACCAGUCCUGAUUCCAUGUUAGAGGAGACUACAUAAGGACACAGGUACCAGAAGAUGAAAAAUUUGGAGUCUAGUGAAAAGAAGUGACUUGCUCAAAAUCACACAGCACAUGAAGAACAGAGCCUCUAUGAUGAAUUUCUUGACAGAUCAAGAACUACUUUGGACUUUAUGUCUUAUUACUCAAGGAAGACAUUUCCUAAGCUACAGAGGCCAUAGAUAGUGAUUCCUCUGAUGGAUCUUGGCAAAGUAAGUGGAAAACUUUCUGGAAAGAAUUCACAACUCUAGAUGUCAUUAAGAACAUUUGGGAUUCCUGGGAGGGGAUCAAAAUAUCAUUAACGGGAAUUUGGAAGAAGUUGACUCCAACCCUCAUGGAUGAAAUCGAGGGAUUCAAGACUUCAGUGGAGGAAGUAAC
RNAcentral lists this long non-coding RNA (618 nucleotides) under Homo sapiens (human). RNAcentral's name for it is "HSALNT0318669". Lineage: Eukaryota; Metazoa; Chordata; Mammalia; Primates; Hominidae. The record is from RNAcentral.